This 230-nucleotide ribosomal RNA is filed under the name uncultured bacterium. Its description in RNAcentral is "partial 16S ribosomal RNA". It matches the Rfam family "Bacterial small subunit ribosomal RNA", at positions 562 to 791 of the family's 1533-position model. The record is from RNAcentral.
AAAGCGUGCGCAGGCGGUUUUGUAAGUCUGUCGUGAAAUCCCCGGGCUCAACCUGGGAAUGGCGAUGGAGACUGCAAGGCUAGAGUUUGGCAGAGGGGGGUAGAAUUCCACGUGUAGCAGUGAAAUGCGUAGAGAUGUGGAGGAACACCGAUGGCGAAGGCAGCCCCCUGGGUCAAAACUGACGCUCAUGCACGAAAGCGUGGGGAGCAAACAGGAUUAGAUACCCCGGU